RNAcentral lists this ribosomal RNA (425 nucleotides) under uncultured bacterium. RNAcentral describes it as "partial 16S ribosomal RNA". It matches the Rfam family "Bacterial small subunit ribosomal RNA", at positions 354 to 796 of the family's 1533-position model. The record is from RNAcentral.
GUGGGGAAUCUUGCGCAAUGGGCGAAAGCCUGACGCAGCCAUGCCGCGUGAAUGAUGAAGGUCUUAGGAUUGUAAAAUUCUUUCACCGGGGACGAUAAUGACGGUACCCGGAGAAGAAGCUCCGGCUAACUUCGUGCCAGCAGCCGCGGUAAUACGAAGGGGGCUAGCGUUGCUCGGAAUUACUGGGCGUAAAGGGCGCGUAGGCGGACAGCUUAGUCAGAGGUGAAAGCCCAGGGCUCAACCUUGGAAUUGGCUUUGAUACUGGCUGUCUUGAGUUUGGGAGAGGUGAGUGGAACUCCGAGUGUAGAGGUGAAAUUCGUAGAUAUUCGGAAGAACACCAGUGGCGAAGGCGACUCACUGGCCCAAUACUGACGCUGAGGCGCGAAAGCGUGGGGAGCAAACAGGAUUAGAACCCCUGGUAGUCC